UAGUCUGGUGCCAGCAGCCGCGGUAAUUCCAGCUCCAAUAGCGUAUAUUAAAGUUGUUGUGGUUAAAAGCUCGUAGUUGGAUCUCGGCGGUCUGAGGGCGGUUCGCUUGAUUGAGUGCUACUGCUCUAUAGGCCGUGGUUUUGCCAGAGGUCUCGGGGUGCUCUUAACCGAGUGUCCUGCGAUGCUGGCAGGUUUACUUUGAAAAAAUUAGAGUGCUCAAAGCAGGCUUUUACGCCUGAAUAUUCGUGCAUGGAAUAAUAGAAUAGGAAGUCGUUUCUAUUUUGUUGGUUUUCGGAAAUCGACUUAAUGAUUAAUAGGGACAGUCGGGGGCAUUUGUAUUCAAACGACAGAGGUGAAAUUCUUGGACCGUUUGAAGACAAACUACUGCGAAAGCAUUUGCCAAGAAUAUUUUCAUUAAUCAAGAACGAAAGUUAGAGGUUCGAAGGCGAUUAGAUACCGCCCUAGUUCUAACCAUAAACGAUGCCAGCUAGCGAUCUGCCGACGUUUUCUUUGUAGACUCGGCAGGAAGCUUCCGGGAAACCAAAGCAUUUGGGUUCCAGGGGAAGUAUGGUUGCAAAGCUGAAACUUAAAGGAAUUGACGGAAGGGCACCACCAGGAGUGGAGCCUGUGGCUUAAUUUGACUCAACACGGGAAAUCUCACCAGGCCCGGACACUGGAAGGAUUGACAGAUUGAUAGCUCUUUCUUGAUUCGGUGGGUGGUGGUGCAUGGCCGUUCUU
RNAcentral lists this ribosomal RNA (738 nucleotides) under uncultured eukaryote. Its description in RNAcentral is "SSU rRNA". It matches the Rfam family "Eukaryotic small subunit ribosomal RNA", at positions 557 to 1295 of the family's 1831-position model. The record is from RNAcentral.